UAUAAAAUUGCUCAUGUUCCCUAUCAGAAAAUCCACGUGAUGAUCAUCAUAUGUGAUAUUAUCGUACGUUAACCCAUUCCAUCUUUGGGUAACCAACCGGUGUCGUUGCUUGCCAUGCAGUGUCGGGGUAGCUAGUGUCACCCCUAUCGGUAUAGCUAGUGAAAAGGUAGCCAGGGACCCAGCAUGGACCCAGUGUAGCCUUCCAUUUUACCUAAAUUGCUUGAGUUGAAAGUCUGAAACAAUCCGUUUUUCGUAUUAAUUUCUGUAGCCUUUUUAACAAUUUCUCAUCAAAAUGACUAAUAGUCCUAAAAAAUUCUGGAGUAUGAUAAUCUUACCAGGAAAAACAUAUUCGUUUUCUGUGGAAAGGGAUUUUCACAUAUCUAAAGCUGUUAUUGAUUUAUCACAAACCACUUUUCCUCAUGCAACAAGUCUUAUGGUGGACUGUGAUGAUAAAAAAAAGAUUAUGUUGUGCCAUCUGCAGAAUGAUUGGCAUUCCAAAAUAUUGAAGCCUCAAGCUGAUCUUGACAUUCACUUUUGUGUUGGACAGAAAGUAACACUUUAUACUGCAGUACAUAGAGUUUCUUCUGGUACGCCACACACAAUCCAUCUAUCAGGAUAUGAAUUUGUGUAGCACACGGCUGUAAUGGGAGUAUUUUAAUACACUUAAAAAGCCCACAUUUUAUACAGAAAUGUCAAAGUUUAAAACCCAAAUGUAUUUUAUUUAUUUCAUAUCCUAAGGUGCCGAAAUCCAGUUUGACGAAUAUUUCAGGUAAGCCGCGAAAUGCAGCAAAAUUCUCCCAUUGCGUGGUCGAAAAUCGUGCUUCAUAUAAUCUAAUGAUUACUUCCAGUCAUAGACCUAAAGUGCAGCACCAAAAACAAUGUUUGCUAAAGGAACGAGAUCCCGGUAUUAAGCUCCAGAACUACAAACUGUUGAAGUAAGGAAAACUACUGAAAAGAGAGGUAAGUACCUUCAGCUAUAAAAACCAUAUAUGAAUCCCUUUCACCCAAAGAUAAAAGAUAAGAUAAAAGAUAAAACACAAAAUACGAAUUUCCAUUUAACAUUAUUAUUUAAUUGAUAAGAUACAGUUUAGUAGCAUGACAAUAAAGUCAAUUUAAUUUACUCAAACAGAAAUAUCUCAUUUUCACUCGAUUGAAAUUCCCCAUCCACUCCAAAAAGAAAAAACUCACCUAACAUCCGAACAAAAAAAGGCAAACUACCAUAAAUGGGGGAAAGCGACUCGCGGCUGCAAAGCAGUGUCAAACAAAAAACAAAACAAUAAGACAAAUGAAUAUUUAAUCAUUGUACUGAGGGGGCUAAAAAUUACAAUUUAUAAUUGUUGCGGUUCAAGACCUUCCACACACUUCCGUCUUUUUACUGCGCACAAUUAAACUUUCUCCAAGAGACACUGAGUGAAGAAUGAUCGAGGUAUA
This 1431-nucleotide long non-coding RNA is filed under the name Daphnia pulex (common water flea). RNAcentral describes it as "uncharacterized LOC124209714, transcript variant X2". The record is from RNAcentral. Lineage: Eukaryota; Metazoa; Arthropoda; Branchiopoda; Diplostraca; Daphniidae.